This 1191-nucleotide long non-coding RNA is filed under the name Oncorhynchus mykiss (rainbow trout). Its description in RNAcentral is "lncRNA (ENSOMYG00000000847.2)". Lineage: Eukaryota; Metazoa; Chordata; Actinopteri; Salmoniformes; Salmonidae. The record is from RNAcentral.
CCCAGUUAACCAGGGGGAUAUCAUAUACAAACCACAGGGGUUGACUACAGGGUAGUGUGUAGGCUUUUUUUCCAGCCCAACUCUAACACACAUGAUUCAAUUAAAUCAACUAAUGAUGGUCGUCAACUGAAACAUUCUGCUUUGGGGCAACAGGACAUUUUGGAAUCAGCAGCAGUCAUGAAGGACAAAGGAAGGCAUUUUACACAAGUCUGAACUCUGCCAAUACUUACUACUUACUACACUAUCAUUUAAACCAGCCUACUCUUUGAGUAAGGUAAGGAAAUAAAACAAAAAUGUUUUAGCAACCUGGAAUCUCUACUCAAGGUUUCUUAGCACAAGAUGGCUGAGACGUGACUAAAGAAUGUAUGAAUAAAUCCCAAUUUUGUGACUCAAAUGUUGAAAUCCAAGACUUUACAGUAUGUCAACACAAUACUUACUUCCUGUUCUAAUGAAGAUAUAAAGGUGUCCACAUAUUUUGGGUGGCCACAGAGAGUGGUAGAAGACUCGGGGGGUAAUACUAUGGAAUUCUAUUUGAAGACUUUCUACACUGUGUUGGUACUGACACUGACAGGAGGCCUUGAUCCUACCAGUGUCUCAGCAGCAUCUCCUAAUCCUAGCUCAGUGUCCGUGAGGCCCAGCCCACAGCUCUCUCUCCCCAUUCUCAACCAGUCCUUCAGCCUGGACUGUAGCGGCUCCUUCCCAGGCCUGCCAGUGCUUUGGUACAAAGACGGCCAGGUUGUAGCUCCAGACGCCAGGAUAAACCUGUUGGAACACAACACCUCCCUCCACUUCAACUCCCUGCUGCCCUCUGAUGGUGGCUUCUAUCAGUGCGAGGUGACCAUGGCAAACAUGGCUGAAAGCAAGGUCAUAAGCUUGGGCUACCUGCUAAACUUUGAUCAUUGGAGUGUUAGUAUCAGUGGCCCUGACACAGUGUUGCCUGGGAGGGAAUACACCUUUACCUGCCAGGUGAACUGCACUGUCGACCUGGACUGCUCCAUCCGCUGGCCAUUGAGGGGGGGUAUCCUUACUAGCGCCUACCUCUCUGUGAGGAAGAAUAUCCUGAAAUGGAUCCCGUCGGUACCUGGUACGGUACAGAACUUCACCUGUGUGGUGGAGAACACAGCAGCUGGACGCUCUGCAGAGGCCUCCAAGACAGUGAAGGUCACAGAUCGUAAAGAAAUGACUCUCUAG